This 574-nucleotide long non-coding RNA is filed under the name Panax ginseng (ginseng). RNAcentral describes it as "long non-coding RNA (PGIN_LNC012379)". The record is from RNAcentral. Lineage: Eukaryota; Viridiplantae; Streptophyta; Magnoliopsida; Apiales; Araliaceae.
CCCAACAUUCUCAUCAACAAACAGAAGCAACGGUUUAGCAAUUGUACCAACCAAACCCUAAUUUCAUUUCAAACCCAGAAACGAACACUUUUUUAAAAAGGCAAACACUAGACCAGUGGUGCCUCCUUCCUCUUACCUAAACCCAGCACAAGAAAUCCCCAAAAACCAAAAGAUUGAACCUUUACUCCCCCAAAAAAAUGAAGCAAAUUUCACAAACAAAAAAUCUCAACAAAGUGAACGGCUUUUACACUAGAUUCUCUCAAAUUGAAACACACUACACAAAGAAUCGCAUGUAAAAGUAUCAGUCAAACACAAAUUAAUCAAAAAAAUGAGUGAUCCAGCUCUAAAAUGAACGGAUUAAGUAUAUACGUACCUUGAUCGAAAGGCCUCGACUGUGCGAUUACGAUUGAACAAAAAACAAAGCUAGAUCGAUUUACCAAAAGAAACUCCAAUGCGCGAUUGUAAGUAAACCCUCUUCCGUUGAACGCAUAAACGAGUACUUUUACAGAGAGAAAGAGAGUAUAACAAAGAAGACGAAGAACAAACAAUGAAUGAAUAUCUAGUCUUCGUCUAC